GACGAACGCUGGCGGCGUGCUUAACACAUGCAAGUCGAGCGGAAAGGCCCUGCUUUUGUGGGUUGCUCGAGUGGCGAGCGGGUGAGUAAAACGUGAGUAACCCGCACUUGACUUUGGGAUAACUUCAGGAAACUGGGGCUCAUACAGGGUAGAAUCUCCUGCUGCACGGUGGGGGUUGGAAAGAUUCGGCGGUUGGGGCUUGACUCGCGGCUUAUCAGCUUGUUGGGGGGGUAGUGGCUUACCAAGGUUUUGACGGGUAGCCGGCCUGAGAGGGUGACCGGGGACAAUGGGACUGCGGUACGGCCCAGACUGCUACCGUCGGCAGCAGUGGGGAGUAUUGCAGAAUAGGGGGAAGCGUGAUACAGCAAGCCCGGGUGCGGAAUAACGUCUUUUGGGUUGUAAACCGCUGUCGCCGUUGACGUAGCGGUCUUGACGGUAAUUGGUAAAGAAGCAACGGCUAACUACGUG
Molecule: ribosomal RNA, 468 nt
Filed under: uncultured bacterium
Lineage: Bacteria
Description: partial 16S ribosomal RNA
Rfam family: Bacterial small subunit ribosomal RNA
Source: RNAcentral